This 729-nucleotide ribosomal RNA is filed under the name Mycolicibacterium fortuitum. RNAcentral describes it as "bacterial SSU rRNA". It matches the Rfam family "Bacterial small subunit ribosomal RNA", at positions 94 to 836 of the family's 1533-position model. The record is from RNAcentral. Lineage: Bacteria; Bacillati; Actinomycetota; Actinomycetes; Mycobacteriales; Mycobacteriaceae.
AGUGGCGAACGGGUGAGUAACACGUGGGUGAUCUGCCCUGCACUUUGGGAUAAGCCUGGGAAACUGGGUCUAAUACCGAAUAUGACCACGCGCUUCAUGGUGUGUGGUGGAAAGCUUUUGCGGUGUGGGAUGGGCCCGCGGCCUAUCAGCUUGUUGGUGGGGUAAUGGCCUACCAAGGCGACGACGGGUAGCCGGCCUGAGAGGGUGACCGGCCACACUGGGACUGAGAUACGGCCCAGACUCCUACGGGAGGCAGCAGUGGGGAAUAUUGCACAAUGGGCGCAAGCCUGAUGCAGCGACGCCGCGUGAGGGAUGACGGCCUUCGGGUUGUAAACCUCUUUCAAUAGGGACGAAGCGCAAGUGACGGUACCUAUAGAAGAAGGACCGGCCAACUACGUGCCAGCAGCCGCGGUAAUACGUAGGGUCCGAGCGUUGUCCGGAAUUACUGGGCGUAAAGAGCUCGUAGGUGGUUUGUCGCGUUGUUCGUGAAAACUCACAGCUUAACUGUGGGCGUGCGGGCGAUACGGGCAGACUAGAGUACUGCAGGGGAGACUGGAAUUCCUGGUGUAGCGGUGGAAUGCGCAGAUAUCAGGAGGAACACCGGUGGCGAAGGCGGGUCUCUGGGCAGUAACUGACGCUGAGGAGCGAAAGCGUGGGGAGCGAACAGGAUUAGAUACCCUGGUAGUCCACGCCGUAAACGGUGGGUACUAGGUGUGGGUUUCCUUCCUU